GUCAAGUGAAUAAGCGCACAUGGUGGAUGCCUUGGCGAUAAGAGGCGAUGAAGGGCGUAGUAAUCUGCGAAAAGCGUUGGCGAGUUGAUAAACGAGCAUUAACCCAACGAUUCCCGAAUGGGGCAACCCAACCAGCGUAAGCUGGUUAUCCCAUACUGAAUACAUAGGUAUUGGGAGGCGAACCCGGAGAACUGAAACAUCUAAGUACCCGGAGGAAAGGACAUCAAUUGAUACUCCCCUAGUAGCGGCGAGCGAACGGGGACCAGCCGAGCCUUGAGAGUGAAUUGAAUGGUCUGGAAAGGCCAACCAUAGUGGGUGACAGUCCCGUAAAUGAAGCUCAAUAGGACGUAUUAAGUAGGGCGGAACACGUGAAAUUCUGUCUGAAGAUCGGAGGACCACCUUCGAAGGCUAAGUACUCCUUACUGACCGAUAGUGAACCAGUACC
RNAcentral lists this ribosomal RNA (445 nucleotides) under Chaetoceros neogracilis. Its description in RNAcentral is "partial Bacterial large subunit ribosomal RNA". It matches the Rfam family "Bacterial large subunit ribosomal RNA", at positions 1 to 502 of the family's 2925-position model. The record is from RNAcentral. Lineage: Eukaryota; Bacillariophyta; Thalassiosirophyceae; Chaetocerotales; Chaetocerotaceae.